This is a long non-coding RNA of Crotalus tigris (Tiger rattlesnake), 2081 nucleotides long. RefSeq lists it as uncharacterized. The transcript is spliced from 2 exons. The record is from RefSeq and is a predicted model, not a curated record. Lineage: Eukaryota; Metazoa; Chordata; Lepidosauria; Squamata; Viperidae.
UAUGGGUGCUGCAGAAAAAUCAUCUGGAAAAGUCCAGAUGUUGUAAGGUGGUGCCUUGAAUAUGGUCAAAUGGGAAGGGCCGAAGUCUCCAGGGAGACUGAGAGCUCGUUUGAAGUCUAUGAGUUGCCUCCGUAUUAAAUACAAGUAGUCCUCGAGUUACAACCACAAUGGAGCCCAAAAUUUCUGUUGUUGAGACAUUUGUUAAGUGAAUUUUGCCCCUUUUUAUGACCUUUCUUGCUUCAGUUGUUGUGAAUUGCUGCAGUUGACAAGUUCAUAACUCGAUUGUUACAUGAAUCUGGCUUUCCCAUUGACUUGGCCUCUCAGAAAGUCACAAAACAUGAUCACAUGACCUUGGGACACAGCAACCAUCAUAAAUAUGGACCAGUUGAACUUUGAACGGUCACUAAGUGAAUUGUUGCAAGUCAAGGACUACCUGUACAUGUCCAGUUCUCUUCUGGCAAAGCCAAGUUGCUUUGAAACAGGCAGGGAUUAGGAGAGGCAGCAUAUCCACUUUUGCAAAAUGGCAAAACAACCUAUUGAUGGCGGGAGGUGGGGUACUUUGGAGCGGAUUUUUCCCCCUCUCUAAUUCACAUCUCACAAAAGCCCAGAACCACAAACGCUACGAGGGAUUUCAAGGGCGGGCGCUGGGAUGAGGCAGGGGCCGAGAGACUCUGUUGCGCUCUGAAGCAACAACGCCUUGCAAAACGUCGCGGUGCGGCUGACGAACUCGCGGCUGACUAGCGGGGCGGAGUUGGGCUGCUCUGGGGCUGGGAAAUUCCGUUCACAAAUUAUACAUAAUGCAACUACAAUCCACGCCACGCGUUGCCUAAGCUGACGACUCCCGUAUCGAGGAGGGAGGGCCGCCUCUCCCUCGUGAUCAAAGGGAGCAGCAGCGAAGCCGCCUUUCGUACCGCACGCAGAGGAAGUACAAAGGCAACAUCGACCCAGAAAGGGAGAUUUUGACUUCAUGCACUAAAUGAAGAGGUGAACAUAAGAUCAAGCAACACUUUUUUCCAGGGAAAAGCUAACAUCCUGUGUUAGCCUGACAAGAGCUUGAAGUAUGGUAAACAGAGCAUCUGUCAUAACCGCAUCCUCACCCUGCUGUCCAGCAACCUCCGUCAUCAGGAACAAGCACUUCACAACAACUUGACAAGAAGCAGAUGGCAGCUCCAGGGGCUGCAGCUCCAUUCUUGCUGUUAGGCAGCCUCUCCUUUCUCUCUGCUCUAGCCUUGGUCCUUGGAAGCUCUUGGAUCACAGCAUCCUCACCAGCUUCCUCCAUCGACACAGCGAGAGGUGAGGAUUAUGCCAUGAAGAUGGAGGGAGAGAUGGGAACCAACUAUAGCACAUGUAACCUACGAAGCUAACCAAGCAGAGACACAGUGACCCUCCAAAAAGACACAAGAAAUUUGGUUCUUCUUUUUCUUUCCAGCCAUCACACUUGUUACACAAAAUGAGGAAAUAUGGAAAAAAAUGGCAAAAAGAUUUUUAUAGCAUUUUCCAGACACUGAAAGGCAGUGCUGGUUAAGAUGCAAGCAGCAAUAGGCUUUGCAUUAGAACCCCUGCUGAGACUAAGAAACUUUCCAGAUACUCUAAUUUCUUAUUGUAAUAUGCACUCCUGCAUAUGCUGAUGCACUUUUCUCAUAUUUUCAACAAUCAAAUCCUCAGUAGCUCUGCGUUCAUAAGCCUGUACUUUUGCUACAACUGAGCCUUUCUAAGUUCUAAAUCCAUAGUUAGAUUGGACAGAUUGACAUUCAAGACUGGUAAACCAUUUGAAAAUUAUAUAUAUCAAAACCUCAAAUGGGUAAGGUCUCUGUUUCAGGAAGCUUGCCAAAUGCAUUAUAUUCAGCCGAGAAUAAAUUUGGGUUGAUGAAUGUAAAAUAAUAGCCAAAUUUAGGAAUGAGCUGCAAUGAGUCAAAGGAAAAUGAAACAUCAAAUCGUUUCCAGAGGAGAGGAAUCUGCAAAUGUAGAAAAGAAAAAUGAAGAGCAGGGUUCAAGAGUUAUUUGUUAUUGAUGGUGGCAUCUAUAAUUGUUUUCCUUGCUGCAACUUUUUUUUUUUUUAAAUAAACCCUCCUAAACCACAA